UACGAAGGGGGCUAGCGUUGCUUGGAAUUACUGGGCGUAAAGGGAGCGUAGGCGGAUAGUUUAGUCAGAGGUGAAAGCCCAGGGCUCAACCUUGGAAUUGCCUUUGAUACUGGCUAUCUUGAGUACGGAAGAGGUAUGUGGAACUCCGAGUGUAGAGGUGAAAUUCGUAGAUAUUCGGAAGAACACCAGUGGCGAAGGCGACAUACUGGUCCGUUACUGACGCUGAGGCUCGAAAGCGUGGGGAGCAAACAGG
RNAcentral lists this ribosomal RNA (253 nucleotides) under uncultured bacterium. RNAcentral describes it as "partial 16S ribosomal RNA". It matches the Rfam family "Bacterial small subunit ribosomal RNA", at positions 524 to 776 of the family's 1533-position model. The record is from RNAcentral.